GACAGAGGUCUCGAGCGUUAGGCGGAAUCACUGGGCUUAAAGCGUGUGUAGGCGGAUUUGUAAGUACCUUGUGAAAUCCCACGGCUUAACCGUGGAACUGCUGGGUAUACUGCUUAUCUUGGGCCAUCUAGGGGCGAGCGGAACAAACGGUGGAGCGGUGAAAUGCGUAGAUAUCGUUUGGAACGCCAAUGGUGAAAACAGCUCGCUGGGGAUGUGCCGACGCUGAGACACGAAAGCCAGGGGAGCGAACGGG
This 253-nucleotide ribosomal RNA is filed under the name uncultured bacterium. Its description in RNAcentral is "partial 16S ribosomal RNA". It matches the Rfam family "Bacterial small subunit ribosomal RNA", at positions 524 to 776 of the family's 1533-position model. The record is from RNAcentral.